RNAcentral lists this long non-coding RNA (11669 nucleotides) under Mytilus galloprovincialis (Mediterranean mussel). Lineage: Eukaryota; Metazoa; Mollusca; Bivalvia; Mytilida; Mytilidae. The record is from RNAcentral.
CCAUUUUUGCCUUGUUUCCAUGGUAACACAAGACAUUUUCGAAAUUCCAACGCCAAAUUGCACAUCUUCCAAUGUUGCUCAUCAUUACUGUGAAGUUUCAUUAAAUUUGGAGCAUUUUGAUAUUUUCGAAAUUUUUGGUGUAGUAUCCAUGGCAACAUAGUAGUUCCAAUGAAUGCCAAAAACCAUCCAAAACAAGUAUAUGCCCGGCACCUACAUUGUAUCAAAAUAUAAUGAUUCUAAGUUAAAGCAUCUCCAAAUAAUUCCCAAAAACCAAAAAGUGGAAUUUUUCACAUUUGUUCCGUUUCCAUGGUAACGGCAGCCAUUUUUAAUGGUCCUAUGACCUACUGCAACCCGAAAUUUUGUGUUCCUCAUUAUAGUUGACUAUCACUAAGAUUGGUUCCAUUGCCUUAAAAAAAUCUGCCGGACAAAAAUCAUUGGAAGAAUAAGAAUAAUAAUAACAAAGAAACGGAGGAAAAGCAAUAUGUCACCCGACAUUGUCGAUCGGGUGACAUAAUAAUAAAUGUACAGCCCGCCGACAUUGUCGAUCGGGUGACCGUACCGUUGAGGGUGCCAUAACUAGAUUUGUAAUUGCUAGCAAUAACGGAUGGCACCCUCGUCCCCCCAUUGCCAGGCGAGCGGCAGCCAUUUUGAAAAUUUCAAAGUCAAAGAGUGCAUCUACACAUGCAAGUCAUCAUUUUUGCAAAAUUUCAUUAAGUUUGGAAGCAUUUUGAAAUUUUGGACAAUUUUGCUGUUUCCAUGGUUACGGCGGCCAUUUUGGAAAUUCCAACUUCAAAAUGCAACUCCGCACAUGUCAGUCACUAUUCCUGUAAAGUUUCAUCCAGUUUGCAGCACUUAAUUUUUUUGGAAAUUUUGAACAUUUGUGCUGCAACCAUGGUUACAGUAGAUAAUUCCAAAAUUCUAAAAGCGUACAUCUCAUUGCCACAUGUCAUGUUAUAUAUCAAUACAGUUUCAUUUAACUUUGGUGCACUACUCUCUGAGAAAAUGCUGAUUUUAUGCAUUUUUCCAUAGGGUCAAUGCAAAACUUGGCCCCAGUUUCCAUGACAACGGCGGCCAUUUUGAACUAUCCAAAUAUUGUCUUGACAUCUUGGCAUACUGGAGAACAUUUUCAUAAAGUUUCAUCCAGUUGGAUCUUAUAACGAAAGAGUUAGAAUUUUUGAUAUUUUAGCUGUUUCCAUGGUAACGGCAGCCAUUUUGAAAAUUCCAAAGUCAAACUGGAAAUCAGCACAUGCCAGUUAACAUUCCUGUGGAGUUUCUUCCAGUUUGGAACACUUUGAUUUUUUUCGCAUUUGUGCUGUUUCCAUGGAAACGGCGGCCAUCUUUUACCAUUCCAUAGCAAGGUGCACAACUUCAAAUGGGGUCCUCAUUAUGUUAUAGUUCCAACAACAUUGGAUCACUCAAUUCUUAGAAACACGAUGGACAAAAUGUGUGGAAGAAUAAUAAAAACUAGAAUUGCCAUUGCAAGCAAUAGCGGAUGUCACCCUUCCCCCCAUUGCCACUAAGCGGCAGCCAUUUCAAAACAACUUAACAGUGAAUGCACAUAUGUAUUCGCUGGCAAUACUUCUUUCUGUAAAUUUUCAGUACAUUUGAGCAUUUUCAAAAAAUUUCACAUUUCUGCUGUUUCCAUGGCAACGGCAGCCAUUUUGAAAAUUUUCAAAGUCAAAAGUCUCAUCUAUACAUGCCAGUUGACAAUAAUAUUAAGUUUCAUUAAGUUUGGAGCAUUUUGAAAAAUAUUUGACAUUUCUGCAGUUUCCAUGGCAACGGUGGCCAUUUUGGAAAUUCCAACUUCAAAAGUCUCAUGCAGACUUGACAGUCAACAAUCAUAUUAAGUUUCAUUAAUUUUUGAGCAUUUUGAAAUUUUUGAAAUUUUUGACAUUUUGGCUGGUUUCUAUGGUAACACAGACCAUUCCAAAUUUCUAAUGGCAGAUACCACAUUGGUACAUGGGAGGGAACAUACCAUCAGAGUUUCAAUGGAUUUGACCUACCAUUUUAAGGAAGUAAAUGCCACUUUUAAGGUGUUUUUAAAGCGUUUUGACCAUUUUUGCCUUGUUUCCAUGGUAACACAAGACAUUUUCGAAAUUCCAACGCCAAAUUGCACAUCUUCCAAUGUUGCUCAUCGUUACUGUGAAGUUUCAUUAAAUUUGGAGCAUUUUGAUAUUUUGGAAAUUUUUGGUGUAGUAUCCAUGGCAACAUAGUAGUUCCAAUGAAUGCCAAAAAUCAUCCAAAACAAGUAUAUAGUGGGCACCUACAUUGUAUCAAAAUAUAAUGAUUCUAAGUUAAAGCAUCUCCAAAUAAUUCCCAAAACCCAAAAAGUGGAAUUUUUCACAUUUGUUCCGUUUCCAUGGUAACGGCAGCCAUUUUUAAUGGUCCUAUGACCUACUGCAACCCGAAAUUUUGUGUUCCUCAUUAUAGUUGACUAUCACUAAGAUUGGUUCCAUUGCCUUCAAAAAAUCUGCCGGACAAAAAUCAUUGGAAGAAUAAGAAGAAUAAUAAUAACAAAGAAACGGAGGAAAAGCAAUAUGUCACCCGACAUUGUCGAUCGGGUGUGACAUAAUAAUAAUGAUAAACGAACAAUAACAAUAUGUCACCCCAACUCCGUUGAGGGUGCCAUAAUAAGAAAAAAAAGAAACGUAGAAUAACAAUAUGUCACCCCAACAUCCGUUGAGGGUGCCAUAACUAGAUUUGCCAUUGCAAGCAAUAGCGGAUGGCACCCUUCCCCAUUGCCAGGCGAGCGGCAGCCAUCUAGAAAAUUCCAAAGUCAAAGUGUGCAUCUACACAUUCAAAUUAUCAUAUUUGUUAAGUUUCAUUAAGUUUGGAGCAUUUUGAAGUUUUUGACAUUUUUGCUGUUUCCAUGGUUACGGCGGCCAUUUUGAAAAUUCCAACUUCAAAUGUCAACUUUGCUUAUGCCAGUGACCAUUCCUGUAAAGUUUCAUCCAGUUUACAGCAUUUUUAUUUUUUUUUGAAAUUUUUGACCUUUUUGCAUUGUUUCCAUGGUAACAACAGAUAUUUUGGAAAUUCCAACGCCAAAUUCCACAUCUUCCAAUGUUGCUCAUCGUUACUGUGAAGUUUCAUGAAGUUUGGAGCAUUUUGAUAUUUUUGAAAUUUUUGGUGUAGUUUCCAUGGCAACAUAGUAGUUCCAAUGAGUGCCAAAAUCAUCCAACACCUGUAUAUGGCCGGCACCUACAUUGUAUCAAAAUAUAAUGGUUCUGAGUUUAAGCAUAUCAAAACAGUUCACCAAAACAAAAAACAGGAUUUUUUCACAUUUGUUUCGUUUCCAUGGCAACGGCAGCCAUCUUGAUGGUGCCAUACCCCACUGCACUAUAGAAUGUGGUGGUCUACAUUAUGGUAUAGUUCCAUCAAUAUUGUUCAAGCCAAUUCCGAGAAAUAGAAUGGACAAAAAAGUGUGGAAGAAUAAAAAUAACUAGAAUUGCCAUUGCAAGCAAUAGCGGAUGUCACCCUUCCCCCAAUUGCCACUAAGCGGCAGCCAUUUCAAAAAUGUUUAACAGUGAAUGCACAUAUAUGCAUGGCAAUACAUUUUUCUGUAAAUUUUCAGUACAUUCAGAGCAUUUUUAAAAAUUUCACAUUUCUGCUGUUUCCAUGGCAACGGCAGCCAUUUUGAAAAUUUCAAAGUCAAAAGUCUCAUCUUACUUGCCAGUUAACAAUAAUAUCAAGUUUCAUUAAGUUCAAAGCAUUUUGAGAAUUUUUGACAUUUUUGCAGUUUCCAUGGCAACGGUGGCCAUUUUGGAAAUUCCAACUUCAAAAGUCUCAUGCAGACUUGACAGUCAACAAUCAUAUUAAGUUUCAUCAAUUUUGGAGCAUUUUGAAAUUUUUGAAAUAUUUGAUCCUGUAUCCAUGGUAACAGAGUAGUUCCAAUGAUUGUCAUAAUCAUUCAAAACCUGUAUAUAGUGGACAACUAUAUUGUAUAAAAAUUUGAUGAUUUUAAGUUCAAGCAUACCAAAGUUAUUCACCAAACCCUGAAGUUUUUGGAGCAUUUUGACCUUUUUGCAUUGUUUCCAUGGUAACGGCAGACAUUUUGGAAAUUCCAACGCCAAAUUCCACAUCUACCAAAGUUGCUCAUCGUUAUGCUAGAAUUUCAAAAAAUUUGGAGCAUUUUCAUAUUUUUGAAAUUUUUGGUGUAGUAUCCAUGGCAACAUAGCAGUUCCAAUGAUUGCCAAAAUCAUCCCAAAGCAGUAUAUAGUGGGCACCUACAUUGUAUUAAAAUCUAAAGAUUUUAAGGUUAAGCAUUCUCAAACAAUUCACCUAACUCCAAAAUUAUAUUUUUUCACCAUUUUUCCGUUUCCAUGGUGAUGGCAGCCAUUUUUUUUAGUUCCAAUAUUGAAAAGCAACAGGAAAGUCAGGGUUCCUUGUUAUAGUGCACCAUCAUUCAGAUUGGUUCCUUUGGCUCUGAGAAAGCGGGCGGACAAAAUUAGGUGGAAGAAAAAUAAUAAUAACUAGAAUUGCCAUUGCAAGCAAUAGCGGAUGUCACCCUUCCCCCCAUUGCCACUAAGCGGCAGCCAUUUCAAAAACUUUUAACAGUGAAUGCACAUAUUUGCAUGGCUAUACAUUUUCUGUAAAUUUUCAGUACAUUUAGAGCAUUUUUAAAAACAUGACAUUUUUGCUGUUUCCAUGGCAACGGCAGCCAUUUUGAAAAUUUCAAAGUCAAAAGUCUCAUCUAUACAUGCCAGUUUACAAUAAUAUUAAGUUUCAUUAAGUUUGGAGCAUUUUGAAAAUAUUUGACAUUUUUGCAGUUUCCAUGGCAACGGUAGCCAUUUUGGAAAUUCCAACUUCAAAAGUCUCAUGCAGACUUGACAGUCAACAAUCAUAUUAAGUUUCAUCAAUUUUGAGCAUUUUGAAAUUUUUGAAAUUUUUGACAUUUUGGCUGGUUUCUAUGGUUACACAGACCAUUCCAAAAUUUUAAUGGCAGAUACCACAUUGGUACAUGGGAGGGAACAUACCAUCAGAGUUUCAAUGGAUUUGACCUACCAUUUUAAGAAAGUAAAUGCCACUUUUAAGGUUUUUGGACCAUUUUGACCAUUUUUGCAUUGUUUCCAUGGUAACGGCAGACAUUUUGGAAAUUCCAACGCCAAAUUCCACAUCUACCAAUGUUGCUCAUCGUUACUGUGAAGUUUCAUUAAAAUUUGGAGCAUUUCCAUAUUUUGGAAAUUUUUGGUGUAGUAUCCAUGGCAACAUAGCAGUUCCAAUGAUUGCCAAAAUCAUCCCAAACCAGUAUAUAGUGGGCACCUACAUUGUAUCAAAAUAUAAUGAUUCUAAGUUAAAGCAUUCUCCAAAUAAUUCACCAAAACCAAAAACUGGAAUUUUUCAUUAUUUUUCGGUUUCCAUGGUGAUGGCAGCCAUUUUUUUAGUUCCAAAGUUGCACUGCAACUGGAAAGUCAGGGUUCCUUGUUAUAGUGCACCAUCAUUCAGAUUGGUUCCUUUGGCUCUGAGAAAACUGCCGGACAAAACUAGGUGGAAGAAAAAUAAUAAUAAUAAUAAUAGUGAAAAAGAAACAGAGGAAUAGCAAUAUGUCACCCGACAUUGUCGAUCGGGUGACAUAAUAAUAAAAAAGAAACAGAGGAAAACAAUAUGUCACCCGACAUUGUCGAUCGGGUGACAUAAUAACUAGAUUUGUAAUUGCUAGCAAUAACGGAUGGCACCCUUCCCCUUAUUGCCAGGUGAGCGGCAGCCAUUUUGAAAAUUCCAAAGUUAAAUAGUGCAUCUACAGAUGUUUAGUAACAAUUUUUGAAAGUUUCAUUAAGUUUGAAGCAUUUUGAAAUUUUAUAUAUUUUUGCUGUUUCCAUGGUAACGGCGGCCAUUUUGAAAAUUCUAAAGUCAAACUGCAAAUCAGCACAUGCCAGUUACCAAUCCUGUGGAGUUUCUUCCAGUUUGGAGCACUUUGAUUUUUUUCGUAUUUUUGCUGUUUCCAUGGAAACGGCGGCCAUUUUUUACCAUUCCAUAUCAAGGUGCACAACUUCACAUGGGGGUCUUCAUUAUAGUAGAGUUCCAUCAACAUUGGUCCAUUGGAUUCCAAGAACUCGCCGGACAAAAUGUGUGGAAGAAAAAUAAGAAAAAAAAGAAACGUAGAAUAACAAUACGUCACCCCAACUCCGUUGACCAUAAUAACGAGAAAAAAUAGAAAAUAGAACAAUAACAAUAUGUCACCCCAACUCCGUUGAGGGUGCCAUAAUAACUAGAAUUGCCAUUGCAAGCAAUAGCGGAUGUCACCCUUCCCCCAUUGCCACUAAGCGGCAGCCAUUUCAAAACAAUUUAACAGUGAAUGCAGAUAUAUGCAUUGGCAAUAUCAUCUUUCUGUAAAUUUUCAGUACAUUUUGAGCAUUGUCAAAAGUUUCACAUUUCUUCUGUUUCCAUGGCAACGGCAGCCAUUUUGAAAAUUCCAAAGUCAAAAGUCUCAUCUAUACAUGCCAGUUAACAAUAAUAUUAAGUUUCAUUAAGUUUGGAGCAUUUUGAAAAUAUUUGACAUUUCUGCAGUUUCCAUGGCAACGGUGGCCAUUUUGGAAAUUCCAACUUCAAAAGUCUCAUGCAGACUUGACAGUCAACAAAUAUAUUAAGUUUCAUCAAUUUUGGAGCAUUUUGAAAUUUUUGAAAUUUUUGACAUUUUGGCUGGUUUCUAUGGUAACAGAUACCAUUCCAAAUUUCUAAUGGCAGAUACCACAUUGGUACAUGGGAGGGAACAUACCAUCAAAGUUUCAAUGGAUUUGACCUACCAUUUUAAGAAAGUAAAUGCCACUUUUAAGGUUUUUGAAGCAUUUUGACCAUUUUUGACUUGUUUCCAUGGUAACGGCAAGACAUUUUUGGAAAUUCCAACGCCAAAUUGCACAUCUACCAAUGUUGCUCAUCGUUACUGUGAAGUUUCAUUAAAUUUGGAGCAUUUUGAUAUUUUGGAAAUUUUUGGUGUAGUUUCCAUGGCAACAUAGUAGUUCCAAUGAAUUGCCAAAAUCAUCCAAAACCAGUAUAUGUGGGCACCUACAUUGUAUCAAAAUAUAAUGAUUCUAAGUUAAAGCAUCUCCAAAUAAUUCAUUAAAACCAAAAAAACUGGAAUUUUUCACAAUUGUUCCGUUUCCAUGGUAACGGCAGCCAUUUUUUAUGGUCUUAAGACCUACUGCAACCCGAAAUUUUGUGUUCCUCAUUAUAGUUAACUAUCAUUAAGAUUGGUUCCAUUGCCUCCAAAAAAACUGCCGGACAAAAUUAGGUGGAAGAAUAAUAAUAACUAGAAUUGCCAUUGCAAGCAAUAGCGGAUGUCACCCUUCCCCCCAUUGCCACUAAGCGGCAGCCAUUUCAAAAACUUUUAACAGUGAAUGCACAUAUAUUUGCAUGGCAAUACAUCUUUCUGUAAAUUUUCAGUACAUUCAGAGCAUUUUAAAAAAUUCACAUUUCUGCUGUUUCCAUGGCAACGGCAGCCAUUUUGAAAAUUCCAAAGUCAAAAGUCUCAUCUAUACAUGCCAGUUAACAAUAAUAUUAAGUUUCAUUAAGUUUUGGAGCAUUUUGAAAAAUAUUUGACAUUUUUGCAGUUUCCAUGGCAACGGUGGCCAUUUUGGAAAUUCCCAACUUCAAAAGUCUCAUGCAGACUUGACAGUCAACAAUCAUAUUAAGUUUCAUUAAUUUUGGAGCAUUUUGAAAUUUUUGAAAUAUUUGAUCCUGUAUCCAUGGUAACAUAGUAGUUCCAAUGAUUGUCAAAAUCAUUCAAAACCUGUAUAUAGUGGACAACUAUAUUGCAUUAAAAUUUGAUGAUUUUAAGUUAAUGCAUAUCAAAGUUUUUCACCAAACCCGGAAGUUUUUGGAGCAUUUUGACCUUUUUGCAUUGUUUCCAUGGUAACGGCAGACAUUUUGGAAAUUCCAACGCCAAAUUCCACAUCUACCAAUGUUGCUCAUCGUUACUGCUAAAGUUUCAAAAAAAUUUGGAGCAUUUUCCAUAUUUUUGAAAUUUUUGGUGUAGUAUCCAUGGCAACAUAGCAGUUCCAAUGAUUGCCAAAAUCAUCCCAAAGCAGUAUAUAGUGGGCACCUACAUUGUAUUAAAAUCUAAAGAUUUUAAGCUUAAGCAUUCUCAAACAAUUCACCUAACUCCAAAAUUAUAUUUUUUCACCAUUUUUCCGUUUCCAUGGUGAUGGCAGCCAUUUUUUAGUUCCAAAGUUGCACUGCAACUGGAAAGUCAGGGUUCCUUGUUAUAGUGCACCAUCAUUCAGAUUGGUUCCUUUGGCUCCAAAAAAACUGCCGGACAAAAUUAGGUGGAAGAAAAAAUAAUAAUAAUAAUACGGAAAAAGAAACAGAGGAAAAGCAAUAUGUCACCCGACAUUGUCGAUCGGGUGACAUAAUAAAAAAAAGAAACAGAGGAAAAGCAAUAUGUCACCCGACAUUGUCGAUCGGGUGACAUAACUAGAUUUGCCAUUGCUAGCAAUAGCGGAUGGCACCCUUCCCCCAUUGCCAGGCGAGCGGCAGCCAUUUUGAAAAUUCCAAAGUCAAAGAGUGCAUCUACACCAUGCAAGUUAUCAUUUUUGUAAAUUUCAUUAAGUUUGAAGCAUUUUGAAAUUUUGGACAAUUUUGCUGUUUCCAUGGUUACGGCGGCCAUUUUGGAAAUUCCAACUUCAAAAUGCAACUCCGCACAUGCAAGUUACUAUUCCUAUAAAGUUUCAUCCAGUUUGCAGCACUUAAUUUUUUUUUGAAAUUUUGAACAUUUGUGCUGCAACCAUGGUUACAGUAGAUAAUUCCAAAAUUCUAAAAGCAGACAUCUCAUUGCCACAUGUCAUGUUAUAUAUCAAUACAGUUUCAUUUACUUUGGUGCACUACUCUCUGAGAAAAUGCUGAUUUUAUGCAUUUUUCCAUAGGGUCAAUGCAAAACUUGGCCCCAGUUUCCAUGACAACGGCGGCCAUUUUGAACUAUCCAUAUAUUGUCCCCCGCUGCAAUUUUUUCCCUCCAUAAUCAUAUAUACCAUUUAAUGUCUCUAGAAUAAAUUUAACAUUGAUGUUCUGGAAUGUUCUGUGAAAAUUCAAAGUUUUGACCUUUUUGCAUUGUUUCCAUGGUAACAACAGAUAUUUUGGAAAUUCCAACGCCAAAUUCCACAUCUUCCAAUGUUGCUCAUCGUUACUGUGAAGUUUCAUGAAGUUUGGAGCAUUUUGAUAUUUUUGAAAUUUUUGGUGUAGUUUCCAUGGCAACAUAGUAGUUCCAAUGAGUGCCAAAAUCAUCCAACACCUGUAUAUAGUGGGCACCUACAUUGUAUUAAAAUAUAAUGAUUCUGAGUUAAAGCAUAUCCAAACAGUUCACCAAAACAAAAACUGGAUUUUUUCACAUUUGUUCCGUUUCCAUGGUGACGGCAGCCAUCUUGAAAGUGCCAACCCCAAAAAGCAAAUCUUCAUCUGGUGGUUAACAUUAUGGUAUAGUUCCAUCUUCUUGGGUCCAUUCACAUUAGAGUUCCAGACUGGACAAAAAUGUGUGGAAGAAAAAUAAUAAUAAAAAUAAAGAAAACUAGAUUUGUAAUUGCUAGCAAUAACGGAUGGCACCCUUCCCCCAUUGCCAGGUGAGCGGCAGCCAGUUUGAAAAUUCCAAAGUCAAAUAGUGCAUCUACAGAUGUCUAGUAACAUUUUUGCAAAGUUUCAUUAAGUUUGAAGCAUUUUGAAAUUUUGGAUUUUUUGCUGUUUCCAUGGUAACGGCGGCCAUUUUGAAAAUUCCAAACUCAAAAGUCAAGUCUACAUAAGCUAGGCAACAUUUGUUAUAAGUUUCAUUAAAUUUAAAGCAUUUUGAAGUUUUUCAAAUUUUUGCUGUUUCCAUGGUAACGGCGGCCAUUUUUGAAUAUUCCAAAGUCAAACCCCUGCUGCAAUUUUUUCCCUCCAUAAUCAUAUACCAUUUAAUGUCUCUAGAAUAAAUUUAACAUUGAUGUUCUGGAAUGUUCUGUGAAAAUUCAAAGUUUUGACCUUUUUGCAUUGUUUCCAAGGUAACAACAGAUAUUUUGGAAAUUCCAACGCCAAAUUCCACAUCUUCCAAUGUUGCUCAUCGUUACUGUGAAGUUUCAUGAAGUUUUUUGAGCAUUUUGAUAUUUUUUGAAAUUUUUGGUGUAGUUUCCAUGGCAACAUAGUAGUUCCAAUGAGUGCCAAAAUCAUCCAACACCUGUAUAUAGUGGGCACCUACAUUGUAUUAAAAUAUAAUGUUUCUGAGUUAAAGCAUAUCCAAACAGUUCACCAAAACAAAAAACUGGAUUUUUUCACAUUUGUUCUGUUUCCAUGGAAACGGUAGCCAUCUUGAACCAUUCCAUGCUUACUGCAACUCUGCACAUGGGGGUCCUUACUAUAGAAGAGUUCCAUCAACAUUGGUCCAUUGGAUUUCGAGAAAUCACCUGGACAAAAUUUGUUGCAAGAAGAAAAAUAAUAAUAAGAAAAAAAAGAAACGUAGAAUAACAAUACGUCACCCCAACUCCGUUGAGGGUGCCAUAACAAAAAGAAACGUAGAAUAACAAUAUGUCACCCAAACUCCGUUUAGGGUGCCAUAAUAAUAAUAACUAGAUUUGCGAUUGCAAGCAAUAGCGGAUGGCACCCUUCCCCCAUUGCCAGGCCAGCGGCAGCCAUUCAGAAAAUUAUAACUGUUUCCAUGGCAACGGCGGCCAUUUUGAAAAUUCGAAACUCAAAAGUUAAGUCUACAUAAGCUAGGCAAAAUUUGUUUUAAGUUUUAUAAAUUUAAAGCAUUUUGAAGUUUUUCAUAAUUUUGCUGUUCCCAUGGUAACGGCGGCCAUUUUGAAUAUUCCAAAGUCAAACCCCCGCUGCAAUUUUUUCCCUCCAUAAUCAUAUAUACCAUCAUAUACCAUUUAAUGUCUCUAGAAUAAAUUUAACAUUGAUGUUCUGGAAUGUUCUGUGAAAAUUUAAAGUUUUGACCAUUUUUGCAUUGUUUCCAUGGUAACUACAGAUAUUUUGGAAAUUCCAACGCCAAAUUCCACAUCUUCCAAUGUUGCUCAUCGUUACUGUGAAGUUUCAUGAAGUUUGGAGCAUUUUGAUAUUUUUGAAAUUUUUGGUGUAGUUUCCAUGGCAACAUAGUAGGUCCAAUGAGUGCCAAAAUCAUCCAACACCUGUAUAUAGUGGGCACCUACAUUGUAUUAAAAUAUGAUCAUUCUGAGUGUAAGCAUAUUCAAACAGUUCACCAAAACAAAAAACAGAAAUUUUUCACAUUUGUUUUGUUUCCAUGGUAACGGCAGCCAUUUUUUACCAUUCCAAUGUCUCUUGCACAACUUCACAUGGCGGUUCAUAUUAUGGUAUAGUUCCAUCAACAUGGGUCUGACCAAUCCCGAGAAAUAGCAUGGACAAAAUGUGUGGAAGAAUAAAAAUAAAAAUAAGAAAAAAAGAAACGGAACAAUAACAAUAUGUCACCCCAACUCCGUUGAGGGUGCCAUAAUAAAAAAAAGAAACGAACAAUAACAAUAUGUCACCCCAACUCCGUUGAGGGUGCCAUAAUAAUAAUAAUAGUGAAAAAGAAACAGAGGAAUAGCAAUAUGUCACCCGACAUUGUCGAUCGGGUGACAUAAUAAGAAAAAAAGAAACGAACAAUAACAAUAUGUCACCCCAACUCCGUUGAGGGUGCCAUAAUAAUAGGGAAAAAGAAACAGAGGAAAAGCAAUAUGUCACCCGACUUUGUCGAUCGGGUGACAUAAUAAUAAGAA